Molecule: long non-coding RNA, 389 nt
Organism: Anolis carolinensis (green anole)
Lineage: Eukaryota; Metazoa; Chordata; Lepidosauria; Squamata; Anolidae
Exons: 3
Source: RefSeq, a predicted model, not a curated record
AAGAUUCUGAAGGAUGCAACAAUGACUGUUAAAUUGAUGUUGAAUGGCUAUAACUGUAUGGUGUUGAAAGAGCUUAAACUUUGUGUGCCAUUCAGACAGGAAUACAUUUUACUUGACUUUGGAGAUGAAAUACUGAAACAUGAAAACAAGGAAAAGCAACACCCUUGGACAAAAACUCUUCAACUAUGAUCAUAAUUUCAAUUUUCUGCUAUGAACAUGUUUUAGUUCAGCUCCAGAAAAAACCCUCCAGCAACCUGUUAAAGACACUCUACAUUUUCCUAUAUAUGUGCAGCCAAAACAUUGCCUUUUAGCAAACAAACUGGAAAGAUACGAAAGCCUGAAAUGAUUGUAUUCCAAUGUUAACUAUUUUCAGCCACUAUAAAGUCUUG